GACGAACGCUGGCGGCGUGCUUAACACAUGCAAGUCGAACGGAAAGGCCCUGCUUUUGUGGGGUGCUCGAGUGGCGAACGGGUGAGUAACACGUGAGUAACCUGCCCUUGACUUUGGGAUAACUUCAGGAAACUGGGGCUAAUACCGGAUAGGAGCUCCUGCUGCAUGGUGGGGGUUGGAACGUUUCGGCGGUUGGGGAUGGACUCGCGGCUCAUCAGCUUGUUGGUGGGGUAGUGGCUUACCAAGGCUUUGACGGGUAGCCGGCCUGAGAGGGUGACCGGCCACAUUGGGACUGAGAUACGGGCCAGACUCCUACGGGAGGCAGCAGUGGGGAAUAUUGCACCAUGGGCGGAAGCCUGAUGCAGCAACGCCGCGUGCGGGAUGACGGCCUUCGGGCUGUAAACCGCUUUCGCCUGUGACGAAGCGUGAGUGACGGUAAUGGGUAAAGAAGCACCGGCUAACUACGUG
This 468-nucleotide ribosomal RNA is filed under the name uncultured bacterium. Its description in RNAcentral is "partial 16S ribosomal RNA". It matches the Rfam family "Bacterial small subunit ribosomal RNA", at positions 28 to 507 of the family's 1533-position model. The record is from RNAcentral.